GACGAACGCUGGCGGCGUGCUUAACACAUGCAAGUCGAACGGAAAGGCCCUGCUUUUGUGGGGUGCUCGAGUGGCGAACGGGUGAGUAACACGUGAGUAACCUGCCCUUGACUUUGGGAUAACUUCAGGAAACUGGGGCUAAUACCGGAUAGGAGCUCCUGCUGCAUGGUGGGGGUUGGAAAGUUUCGGCGGUUGGGGAUGGACUCGCGGCUUAUCAGCUUGUUGGUGGGGUAGUGGCUUACCAAGGCUUUGACGGGUAGCCGGCCUGAGAGGGUGACCGGCCACAUUGGGACUGAGGUACGGCCCAGACUCCUACGGGAGGCAGCGGUGGAGAAUAUUGCACAAUGGGCGGAAGCCAGAUGCAGCAACGCCGCGUGCGGGAUGACGGCCUUCGGGUUGUAAACCGCUUUCGCCUGUGACGAAGCGUGAGUGACGGUAAUGGGUAAAGAAGCACCGGCUAACUACGUG
RNAcentral lists this ribosomal RNA (468 nucleotides) under uncultured bacterium. RNAcentral describes it as "partial 16S ribosomal RNA". It matches the Rfam family "Bacterial small subunit ribosomal RNA", at positions 28 to 507 of the family's 1533-position model. The record is from RNAcentral.